UUUCCGUAGGUGAACCUGCGGAAGGAUCAUUAUUGUAUAACCGAGGUGCGAGGGCUGUCGCUGACCCGUAAGGUCGUGCGCGCCCGAGUGCCCUCACACCCAUCCAUUUCACCUCUAUGUGUACCACCGCGCGGGUCCCCCUUUGGCUGUUUCGCAGGGGGCCUUACGAUUCCACCCAAACUUUGUAUUCCUUGUAGCACGUUUUUUUUGUUUUUGCGAUCAAGCAACCAAUAUAACUUUCAACAACGGAUUUUUUGGCUCUCGCACCCGUGCAGAAAA
This 279-nucleotide unclassified non-coding RNA is filed under the name plant metagenome. Its description in RNAcentral is "partial contains small subunit ribosomal RNA, internal transcribed spacer 1, and 5.8S ribosomal RNA". The record is from RNAcentral.